This 4270-nucleotide long non-coding RNA is filed under the name Sus scrofa (pig). Its description in RNAcentral is "lncRNA (ENSSSCG00030044208.1)". The record is from RNAcentral. Lineage: Eukaryota; Metazoa; Chordata; Mammalia; Artiodactyla; Suidae.
GGACGCGCCGCCGCCGCCGCCGCCGCCACCGCCGGGAAGGCAGCUGGCGCCGAGCAAGUUGCGAGCGCGCCUCUCCGCCCAGGGAAAGUUUCCCCCGCGGCCGCCGAAGGGAGUUGGCGCGGGGUCUGGCCGCUGCCGCUGGAAGAGUUUCUCCUGACGCCACCAUCAGAAAGAGAGCUCAAGAAAAUAUUGACACCCCUGAAAGGAAGAAACACCAGUUGAAAGAGGUGGGCAUCUGCGGGACAGCCCCAAGCUUGCAGGGACCAGACCUCCGACCCCGUCAUCGAAGCAACGGGGACCCUUUGAAUUGGAACUAAAAACGACAAGCUGGGCCAGUAAGGAAAUAUCCAGGAACCCCUCUGACCAGGAGACUCCAUCCUGCUGACAUCGAAAGAACUGCCCAGGUGGAGCACCAUGGAAGGCGACUGUCUGAGCUGCAUGAAGUAUCUGAUGUUUGUCUUCAAUUUCUUCAUAUUUCUGGGCGGGGCCUGCCUGCUGGGCGUGGGCAUCUGGGUCAUGGUCGACCCCACCGGCUUCCGCGAGAUCGUGGCCGCCAACCCCCUGCUCAUCACGGGUGCCUACAUCCUCCUGGCCAUGGGGGGCCUGCUUUUCCUGCUCGGCUUCCUGGGCUGCUGCGGGGCCGUCCGGGAGAACAAGUGUCUGCUGCUGUUUUUCUUCCUGUUCAUCCUGAUCAUCUUCUUAGCGGAGCUGUCGGCGGCCAUCCUGGCCUUCAUCUUCAGGGAAAAUCUCACCCGUGAAUUCUUCACCAAGGAGCUCACCAAGCACUACCAGGGCAACAAUGACACAGAUGUCUUCUCUGCCACCUGGAACUCCGUCAUGAUCACAUUUGGUUGCUGUGGGGUCAAUGGGCCUGAAGACUUUAAGUUUGCAUCAGUUUUCCGACUCCUGACUUUGGACAGUGACGAGGUGCCUGAGGCCUGCUGCCGGAGAGAACCCCAGAGUCGGGAUGGGGUCCUGCUGAGCAGGGAGGAGUGCCUCCUGGGACGGGAACUGUUCCUGAACAAGCAGGGCUGCUACACGGUGAUCCUCAACGCCUUCGAAACCUAUGUCUACCUGGCUGGAGCCCUCGCCAUAGGGGUGCUGGCCAUCGAGCUUUUUGCCAUGAUCUUUGCCAUGUGCCUCUUCCGGGGCAUCCAGUAGAGGGUGUGGCCUGCAGCCUGAAGACUCACCCCGCCUACCACAGCCCAGCACCCAAUGCCCUCCCCUUCCCCGCACCCCUGCCUUCUUGGCCCCCCCUGGGGGGAGGAGGUGAGGCCAUCGUGAGUGGCCAGGAGAAGGGCCGGGGGGAAAUAGCUAUUUUUUUAACAGAACAAAAUGAAGACAAAAAUAUGGACUGAUGUAGCCCGUCUGGACUCCAGAGUGGGCGCCACGGGCUCUGCGCAGGGGCCUGGCACCUGAACCCGGGAUGCAGUCUGGACUAGAGACCAAAGCAACACGAGGGCCAGGCCCUGCCCUUGGCCCACAGCCCCAGGCCUGGGCCCUCGACUCAUAACUUCAGGACCUGGUGCCAAGAAAAUAAGGAUUUAGGCAAGAAGGAGGCGAAAGGAAAUUUGUGGAGAGAGGUUGCCAAACCCCAGCGACCCCAAGGAGGCCCUGGUCCUCCAGGGAUGGAAUUGUCCCUGCCUCAGGCUGGGGCCAAGAGUGGGCUGCAGACACUGGAUCCAAGAAUGGCCCAGCUGGUAGGGUCCCUGCUUCCCCAUCUGUUGGGCCAGAUAAUCUGGAGCACCCAGAGAGGGCCAGUUUCUUAUCCACACUCACACAGCACAUGCACGACAGUUCUGACCAAGAACCUGUCAUCCGCAGGCUGCCUGUCCCUCCUUCCAAGACUCUGUCGGUCCCAGCAGGCAUGCUGCUCCCACCCCUCUCUGGCCUCCGUGCCCUGGUUUCCGCAGAAGAGAGAGGGCAGGCUGGUCAGCAACUGCCUCUUCCUGGCUCCAUGGCGAAGACAGUUCUGGAUUCUGCCCUCCCUCCCACCUCCCCACGCUUUCUGUCAGUCCCAGGAACACACCCAUGUACACACAUCACAGCCUCUUUUUUCACACCGCCCCCCCUCUCCCUGUUCUCCACUGACUCCCCGGCUCCCAGGACUGGAAGGAACCCCCAAGGUCAUCUGGUUCUCCUCUCCCCACUCAGAAUUGCAGCAUGGAUGUCUUCCGCAAGAUCCCCUCCAAGACUUCUCCGCCUUCUUCUUGCACAUCUCCAAGGACAGGGAGCUCACUACCUCCCAAGACAGGUUUCUGCCUUUGGACUGCUCUGACUUGAGCAUCAGCUCGAUACACGGAAGAGGUUUCUUGUUUUCUGUGGCUCUGUCCAUGACAUCCCACGUGCUCGCUCUUCUUACCGAAAUGUUAAGGCCACACAUGGUCCCCCCUGAGCCCCAUCAUCUCCAGGUCAGAGAACCCCGGGGCCUCUCAUCCUUUCUGCUGUGUCAUGGUUUCCUGUGCUUUCACUGUCCUUAGCACAUUUCUGAGUGCCCCCUCCAAGAUCUGGCAGGGAGAGGUUUCCCCACAAACUCACUCACACCCACAGAGCACCCACAAAUCUGUCCCUCAUACACAGGUCUCAGAUUAUAGACCAGUGUUAGCAACCGUAUUACAAGAUGCCGCAACCUUGAUCAAUCAGGAGUGGCUGCCGGAGGCUGUGCCAAGGAUCUGAGGUUUGGUCUGGGAUCCAGGGAAGAAUCCCAGUGUUGUUUCGAUUAGUGCUGUCUGCCGAACAGCUCAAACUUGAUUGGUAAUGUCUGCCCUAGGCGUGGGCUGGGAGAUCAGUAUGGUACCUGCUCUUCUCUUUACAUUGUCCUUCUUCAGAGUCUGGGAGGAACCCUCUGCCAGCUUCCAGCCUCCCCUCCAGCUUUCCAGCCACUGGGAGGCAGAGCAGCAGCUUAGAGCCCAGUGCUCCCCUGCUCUGCCACCUUCCCCCUUCUGAGAUGCAGCCAGAGCUCUGUGCCUGCUGCAAAGAUUCGGUUUGAACCUCCUCCCACCUCUCCCCUUCCCGCUCGCACCCUCCUGCUGUCCCGUCCCCACCAGUCUGGCCCUCCCUCCUGGUCUCCGAGCUGGGUCUUUCCACAUUGUCCCUGUAUCCACCUGCCUUGGAAAUUCUGUAAGUGAUGCUGUGAACUCCCCAGCUACUGGGCAUCCCAGGGACCCAGGGGGCUGUGCAGCUUGUACCCCAGCCCAGCCUGAGAAGGGCCUGGGGCUUACCCCUCUCUAGGCCCAUCCACAAGCUUAGCUCCAACUUCCAAGCAGAGGCAAAGGGCUGGAGUGAGGGUGACACCCUCCCCCCCAAAAAAGUCAGGCUGGCUAGGCAGGACUUAGGGUCAAAUUGGGCAGCUAUGGGGCUCCAGACUAGGAGUGCCCCAGGCUUCAGAGCCCUCUGGUCCCCAAGGCCCAGAAGAACCUGGGGCCUUCGAGGUAAGAAAAGCCAGGCAUCUUGUAUCACCCCUUUGGGGGCCCCCUGAGAGGAGGGGCUGGUCAAAGGGGAACACUAGGCGAGGUGGGUUCAAGGGUAGAUGUGAGACUCUCAUCCUUCUUCAGAGCUCUCCAGAAAGCGGCCAAGAAGUCCUGAUCUGCCCCCAAGGACCACACUGGGGCUGGAGAGGGGGAAGCAGGCUGGUAGCUAUUUGCAAGCCUGCCAGAGGGGGCGCCGGAAGGCAAAGCCCAGCCCCAGUCGGGCUGGAGCCUCUCCCAGGCCCCACCCACAACCGCCCACAACAGGUGCUAAUGGCAGUUUGGGGCUGCUGGGCGAAGGGGUGCUGGGGAGCAGAGUAAGUCUCCACUGAGAUUUUUCUCUGCCAAUACCCCCCACCCCACCCCCACCGGGCCAGGGAAGACCUUACACUUCGUCACUCCGCCCUGUACCAAGGCCACCUUCCUGCUGUCUCUGGGAGAAUUCUUGGCCUCUCCCCAGCUUCCCUUGUCCCCACUGUCCUCUUCAUGCCUAAGGGGCCCAGACAGGACCCCCCCCCAAACCUGCCGAGGCCCUAGCAACCCCCUCUCUCCAGAAGCCCCUUCUUGCCCUCCCCAGUGGGUCCUUUGUGGAAAAUCUAUUUUGAAAUCUGUAAAUGUUCCUUGCAGGAGAGAGCAGAGCUAAUUUAUCGUGUUUAUUGCCCGUGAGCCCCUCCCCUUUUAUAUUAUCUAUCAAGAAGGAGUUUUUGUAAUAUAAAACAGGACACCCACACUGAUGGUUUUGCACUGGUUUUUGUGACUGUUUCUUACAAAAAGAAAAAGGAACAAAGAAUAAAUAGUGAUCG